Molecule: long non-coding RNA, 7246 nt
Organism: Anolis carolinensis (green anole)
Lineage: Eukaryota; Metazoa; Chordata; Lepidosauria; Squamata; Anolidae
Exons: 3
Source: RefSeq, a predicted model, not a curated record
UUCAGUUCAGUUCAUAAUGAGGUAUACACUCCAGCUGUCCCAGUUUACAAGGACAGUCCUGAUUAAUCCUCGUCCCACUUUUUCCAGCUGCUUUUAAAAUGACCUAGUUUCUAUCUCCUCCCACUUUCCCCCUUUGUAGUCACUUACUACAAUUACUACAGAGUUCAAAAAGAGUUUGCACUCAACUCAGCAGGGAAAAGAGGAGGAUUUUCCUCUGCUUCUCUGAAGAUUUAGGCAAAGGCAAGCUGCUGCAAGUCUCCUAACUUGUGAGUUCUUCCUUUUGACAUCUUGACCACACUCUGAUGUUGCUGGGCCAUACGCAUCCCUUUGUUAUUAUCUAUGGAAUAUUGAAUGGAAUUUCUACGUUCUCCAGUGUGACUCUACAAUCAACUUUUCCCAGUCCUGUUGGAAGACCUAGCGAUUUCUAGAGAAAACACCCAUUGAGGAAUCUCUAAGUGCUCCAAUGUGGUGCCUUUUUUCCCCUCAAACUUUUCCUUCUAGCGGCUGCCUCCCUCCUGGACUCCCCUUGUAACCGAAUGCACCCAGUUUUUGACAACCACUGUUCUGUUGUUGCCAAAACAAACAAACAAACAAACAAACAAAAAACAUGAAGACUGAGCUCUUGCUGUUACGGCCAUCUGAACAAAGCAAACAAGCCAGAUCAGCCGAAGGGAACCGUCCAAUCUGAAUCCGUGCACAAGGCUAGUAUGAACUUUUGCAACUGAAGAAGUGGGUUGAAAUUCACAAGCGUUGGUGCUGAAAUAUAAACCAAUUAGUCUUCAAGAGGCAACCUGAUUCCUUUAUUCCCCCCUGCAACAGGCUGGGAGGUCUACUUCUAUGAGGAUGAACACUUUUCAUUUUCAAAAGAAAGCUGCAUCAACAGCUGACCUCCUUCCUUCUUUGUUGCUUUACUGAAGGAAAUUCAAAGGGAAAGGAGGGAGGAGAGGAGAGGAGAGGAGAUAGGCAAAAUGUCUCUUGUCCAGCUCAUGUUCCACAGAGCCAUUUCCUUCACCCAGGCAAUAAAGGCCAGGCUACCUCUAUGCAGAUACCCCCACUGAUUGACUUUGCAAACUUCAUGGCUAUUCAAAUGCUAAUUCAAGCUUGCUAAUUGCAACAUUCACAUUUGCUUUAAAUAGACAAGAGUUCUUUCUCUCACCCUGGACAUUCCACACACCACUUGCCUUACUGCCAACAGAACCUUUGGAGAUGCCAGCCACAGAAGCAGGUGAAACGUCAGGAGAGAAUGCUGCUGGAACAUGGCCAUAUAACCCGAAAAACUCAUAGCAACCCAGUCAAACAAUACCUGGAGGACCACCAGCAUAGAUCAUUUGUUCUCCUGUCUUUGCUUUCCUCACAAUAGCCUUAUGGGAUAGAAACAGUUGAGAAAAAAUGGCUGCUCAUCCAGUGAGUUUCAUGUUUCAGUCGAGACAAGGACAUGGAUUUCCCAAGUUCCAGCCCUACUGUUAUAUCGCACUAGCUCUUCCAGUGAGAUUUGUGGGGCGAUUUGAGCAAAGAGGAAAUUUAAACCACUUUGUGGGGAAUUUGGGAGAACUAUGUUCUGCUCCUGACUGGAAAAGUCUAUUUCAUCAUUAACACUCCUAUUAUAAAGCUAUCAGUUCCUUUCAAUAUCUUCUUGUCUUUGGCUUCUCUUUCCAAUCCUCUAAAUUGUCAAGAAUAAUUCUGCUUUGCUCGAAGGCAGCUUUCCCCUUCAUUUUGUAUAUUGUGCCAUGUGCUGAGCUGCUAUUUUAAAUUGAAGUCUCUAUCCCAUGGUCUGAUUUCCCUUCUUCAGUUAUUUCGAGGCGUUCCUUUUAAUUAGUCCUGUCAUCUGCGCAGGGAAGGAAACUUCCUUGCACUUUACACUCAGCAUUCAGUUGCCAUGCCAAUACAGUGAGAUGGUUCUCACCCUAAAAGCUGUUAUUUUCCACUUCCCCUGGCUCCAGGCCAGAGCCCUAUAGAAUGCAAAUUCUUCAUUUGGCUUCACUACUGCCUUUUAUGCAGGAUCAUUGGCCCCAUGAACUUCCGUAUGAAGUAAUCUGGAAAAAAACAUACCCUAUCAGAAUUUCUUAUGGCUGAUCUUUACUUAUUUAGGUGAUCCCUCAUUAUCGGAGGAUGAUGGUCCUCCAAGUGUAGUGUCUUGACAGCGGAUACGUAGGUGACUGUAGAGCCCUAUUCUUCACCCGCAUGUUCUUCUGCAGGAGCCCGGUGGCAAAGUGUGUUAAAGCACUGAGCUGCUGAACUUGCAGACCGAAAGGUCCCAGGUUCAAAUCCCGGGAGUGGUGUGAGUGCCCGCUGUUGCUCCAGCUUCUGCCAACCUAGUAGUUCGAAAACAUGCCAAUGUGAGUAGAUCAAUAGGUACCACUCUGGCGGGAAGGUAAUGGCGCUCCAUGCAGUCAUGCCAGCCACAUGACCUUGGAGGUGUCUACGGACAACGCCGGCUCUUCGGCUUAGAAAUGGAGAUGAGCACCAACCCCCAGACUCAGACAUGACUGGACUUAAAGUCAGGGGAAACAUUUACCUAUGUUCUUCUGCAGUGAGGGCAUCGGAUUCCAGAUGGAAGGUGGUCCCAGUCAGGGUUGGCUUGAUGCGCCUUCCUCUUGUACUGUUUCUCCCUUUCGCUCUCCAUUCAUGCUGGCUUCCCAGUUCUUGUCUAUGCCACAGUUUUUAAGGUUAGCGUUAAGCCCAUCUUUAAAUCUCUUUCCCUGUCCACCAACAUUACAUUUCCCGUUCUUGAGUUGGGAGUAGAGUAACUGCUUUGUCCUUCGCCUAUGUCUGAUCUACAUUGUAGAAUUAAUGCACUUUGAUGUCACUUUUGACUAUCGUGGUUUAAUGCUAUAGAAUCUUAGGAGUUAUAGUUUUACAAGGUCUUUAGCUUCCUCUGGCAAAGACUGCUGGUCCCUCACCAAACUAUACUUCCAUGAGAAUGAUUUCCCUGCAGUUCAUAUCAGCAGCUUUGAGUCAGUCUGGCUAGGAUAGGGUCAUAAUUCAAAGAAGCAACAAGUAAUUUUAGCCAUUUUUUCCUCUCUAUUGCAAGGAAAUUUUCAAAAACUACAUUUUCCGGAGACUAUUACCAGUUUAGAACUUUGAGUUGCUGUGAGUUUUCAGGGCUGUCUGUGUCAGCGGGGAUGAUGGGUAGCGGGGAUGAUGAGUGAGAUCCAAAAAAUUCACCAUCCCGGUUCACCUCCUUCUCUCCAGACUGUUUUCCCGUGUGAAAAACAGCACUGGAUAAACUCACUCCAGCAGACGAAGUCCAACUGUUGAUUAAACUUUAUUUACAUGAUCUAUAUACAAAUAGAGUCAAUUCAGUCCUUUCCUCCAUGAGUGCUUGCCGAAAGCACCCAUGCACACACACAGCACAUUGCUCAUCGCUGUUCUCUGUUCUACACAGGAAAACUAACUCCCCUGCAUUCCACAGGAACCAAGAUAGUAAGUCCCGGUCAAAACACACUUGACCCCAUUGGUCCUGUGAUACAUCAAUCAUAGCAGACUCUCAUUAACUCCAUAAUUGCUGAAUCCAGAUUGAUUUUAACAUUUCACAAUACACAAUACCCUGACAGUCUGGCCAUGCUCCAGAAGCAUUUUCUCCUGAUGUUUUGUUUUGCCCACAUCUAUGGCAGGCAUCCUCAGAGAUUUUGAGGUCUGUUGGAAACUAUGCAAGUGUGGUUUAUAUAUCAGUUCAAUGCUUAGGGUGGGAGAAAAAACUCUUGUAUGCUUGAGGCAAGUGUGAAUGUUGCAAUUAGCCACCUUGAUUGGCAUUGAAUGGCCUUUCAGCUUCAAAGCCUGGCUGCUUCCUGCCUGGAGAAAUCCUUAGCUGGGAGGUGUUAGCUGGCCCUGAUUGUUUCAUGCCUGGAAUUCCUCUGUUGUUCUUUAUUUACUGUCCUGGUUUUGAUUAAUUCAACCAGAGAGGUCAGCCAUAGCAGAGCACUUGAUGAACCAACCCGGACACAGCAUAUUAUUGGAGAACACAGAAAUGCUGGACCACUCCAACAACAACUACAGUAGAGUCUCACUUAUCCAACACUCACUUAUCCAACGUUCUGGAUUAUCCAACGCAUUUUUGUAGUCAAUGUUUUCAAAAUAUCGUGAUAUUUUGGUGCUAAACUCAUAAAUACAGUAAUUACUACAUAGCAUUACUGCGUAUUGAACUACUUUUUCUGCCAAAUUUGUUGUCUAACAUGAUGUUUUGGUGCUUCAUUUGUAAAAUCAUAACCUAAUUUGAUGUUUAAUAGGCUUUUCCUUAAUGCCUCCUUAUUAUCCAACAUAUUCGCUUAUCCAACAUUCUACUGGCCCGUUUAUGUUGGAUAAGUGAGACUCUACUGUAUGUCAAACUACACAGAGAAGCCAUUGAAAUCCACAAGCAUGUGGAUAAUUUCAACAGAAAGGAGGAAACCAUGAAAAUGAACAAAAUCUGGCUACCAGCAUUAAAAAAAACUCUAAAAUUAGGACAUUACAUAAAGAACAACUCACAGUAAAUAAACGCACAGCAACUCAAUUCAUUUUCAACCUACGUGUCUCAUUCAGCUGUGAAAAUAUCAACUGCUAAAUAAUGGAUUCCCUAUAAACUUAUUUGUUUACAUCCAUUUUUCUACCUGUCUGAAAUUUGGCUGGGUCAAUCCCCUCUUUUGGGUUCAUCACAUCAAAAUCUGAGGCAAGUGUGAUUUUUUAAAAAAAAAUCCCUAUAGCUCUUUUGAUUUCCAACAUAACACAGCGUGAAAGAACUGGAGAUUUCGAUUUUCAAAUCCUCUUUGGGUUUGAUGUCCAUACUGAAUUGGUCCCAGUUAAAUCAGCCUUCAGACUAGAUGCGCACAGACUCAUUUUCAUGUCAGCUUCUGAGAAAGGCUUGCAAUAUCUCUGGGAGACAGAUGUGGCCAUAAAAAUUUCAGCAGUAAUGAUCUUUUUGCUUUUCGCUGAGCAAUGUAAGAGGUAACAACAGGUGUCCUUGUGGUGGAAAGAAUGAUGUAUUUCCAUUGCCCAAUUUUAUAGAAAUUACUGGAGUGCAUUCCCAGCCAACUUUUCAGUCCUCAAGGCCAACUUGAAGAAUGGGAUGUCAUACAGACAUCAUGAGGCUGGGAUUCAAGCAAAAAAAGAGUGAGGUGGAUAAUGAAAAGUACUCAUUGCCAGUAUUUGCACCUGAGCCCAUACGUUUCCAUCCCUUCAGGCAUCUGGUCCCCAUUCUGGAUUUGAUUUUCUGAAACAUUCACUUAGAAAGCAUUGACUAGCUAUACAUAUUUUUCUCCUCAACUAUCUAUAGUGGCCCCUAGGACCAGGCGGAUGGGAUUUAGCAUCCCUGUCAGCAUCCUUGGCUUUGAAUAUGAGGGAAAGCUUUUAGGGAGUUGUUGUUUGGUGAGGCUCCAGCACUCUUUGGCAGAGAAGUGUAAAAGCCUUGUAAAAUUACAAUCCCCUCAGUUCCAUAUCACUGAGCCAUAGUAAUUAGAGUGAUGUGAAAUUGCAUUAGUUCCACAGUGUAGAUGCACCCCAAGUGUGAGAUACUUUUGAACUUUAAACUCAGUUUGCAUCAACGGAUGUGUAGCUUUCCCUUUCCUGAAACCAGCUUGCUGUAGGAUCAUAAAUGGGUCUAUUUGAAGCUGCAUACUACAAGUGCUGAACCUGACUCAGAACGUAGAAGAAGACAGCAAAUUACAGGAGCUACCUUCAUAGACAUGUCAGCAGCUUAUGAUACUGCAAAUCAUUGCCUCCUCCUGAGAAAAAUGUAUAAUAUUACAAAGGAUUACCACCUCACCUGCUUCAUAGAAAAUCUGCUACAAAACAGGAGCUUUUUUGUUGAUUUCCAGGGUCAAAGAAGCAGAUAAUAAUAAUAAUAAUAAUAACAAUAAUAAUAACAACAACUUUAUUUGUAUCCCGCCACCAUCUCCCCCGGAGGGGACUCGGGGCGGCUCACAGAAAUAUCAAAUACAAAACAAUAACAAUAUACAAUACAUCAAUAAACAAUAACAUGCGCCAAUUGUAAUAUUUGCAAAUUAACAAAAAAGAAUAAAAACACUUAUUAAAAACAUAGAAUUUAAAACCACUGAGAUUGUAAUAGUAGAUUAGCAAAGUGCACAUCAUAGGUUGUAAACUCAAAACAUAAAGUGCUACAGAUUCGUUUGAUGACAAAAACAGAAGAAUGGCCUGCCUCAGGGGAGUGUGCUUGCUCCAUCAAUGUUUAACAUUUACACAAAUGAUCAGCCACUGCCAGAAGGGACAGAGAGUUUAAUCUAUGCUAACAAUUGUGCCAUCACCACUCAAGCAGGGAGCUUUGAAAUGGUUGAACAGAAGCGCUCCGAAGCUUUAGGUGCUCUUACUGCCUAUUACAGAGAAAACCAGCUGAUUCCUAAUCCAUCUAAAACACAGACGUGUUUUUCAUCUUAAGAACAAACAAGUAUUUUGAGCUCUGAGGAUUACCUGGGAAGGAAUCCCACUGGAGCAUUGCAGCACACUAAAACACCUGGGAGUCACUCUGGACUGUGCUCUGAUUUAUAAGAAGCACUGCUUGAAUAUCAAGCAAAAUGUGGGUGCUAGGAAUAAUAUCAUACGAAAGCUGACUGGCACAACCUGGAGAUCACAACCAGACACAGUGAAGACAUCUGCCCUUGCACUUUGCUACUGUGCUGCUGAGUAUGCAUGCCCAGUUUGGAAUACAUGUACCAUGUUAAAAUAGUAGAUGUGGCUGUUAAUGAGACAUGCUGCAUUAUCACAGGAUGUCUGUGCCCAACACUGCUGCAGAAAUUAUACUGUUUAGCCAGUAUUGCAUCACCUGAUAUCCGCCGGGAAGUAGUAGCCAGCAAUGAAAGGACCAAGGCAGUGACAUCUCCAGUCCAUCAUCUGUUUGUAUAUCAGCCAGCAUGCCAAUGACUUAAAUCAAGAAACAGCUUCUUAAGAUCUACAGAGAUACUCGCAGGAACACCUCAACAAGUCAGAGUCCAAAAUGGUGGGUAAAAACCCGGAACCUCAAUCAGUGGCUGAUACCGGAUGAGAGAUUCUCUCCUGAGCACACAAAAGACUGGACACCUUGGAAGGCACUGAACAGACUGCUCUGGUACCAAGAAUCUUAAGAAAUGGGGUUAUAAAGUGAAGGCCACAACAUGCAGGUAUGGAGAAGAACAAACCACAGACCACUUAUUAGUCUGGACCCUGCCAUAUGCACAAUGGAGGACCUUCUUACAGUGACACCAGAGGCACUUGAAUUGGCCAGCUUCUCGUCAAAGUUUUUAACUUUGUGGUUUUUUAUACAUUAUAAUUGUAUUCUCAA